This 75-nucleotide transfer RNA is filed under the name Glycine max (soybean). Its description in RNAcentral is "tRNA-Ile". It matches the Rfam family "tRNA". From Rfam's summary of the family: Transfer RNA (tRNA) molecules are approximately 80 nucleotides in length. Their secondary structure includes four short double-helical elements and three loops (D, anti-codon, and T loops). Lineage: Eukaryota; Viridiplantae; Streptophyta; Magnoliopsida; Fabales; Fabaceae. The record is from RNAcentral.
GGUUUAUUAGUUCGGAUUGAUUAGAACAUUGUGCUAAUAAUGCGAAAAUAAUAGGUUCGAUUCUUAUUUGAACCA